This 465-nucleotide ribosomal RNA is filed under the name uncultured bacterium. Its description in RNAcentral is "bacterial SSU rRNA". It matches the Rfam family "Bacterial small subunit ribosomal RNA", at positions 32 to 507 of the family's 1533-position model. The record is from RNAcentral.
AAUCAACGCUGGCGGCGUGCCUCAGACAUGCAAGUCGAACGAUUAAAGCUCUCUUCGGAGAGUGUAUAGAGUGGCGCACGGGUGAGUAACACGUAAGUAAUCUACCCUCGAGUGGGGAAUGACAACCGGAAACGGUUGCUAAUACCGCAUAAUGCAGCGGCACCGCAAGGUGACAGUUGUUAAAGAUUUAUCGCUUGAGGAGGAGCUUGCGGCAGAUUAGCUAGUUGGUAGGGUAACGGCUUACCAAGGCUACGAUCUGUAACCGGUCUAAGAGGACGGUCGGUCACACUGACACUGAAUAACGGGUCAGACUCCUACGGGAGGCAGCAGUCGGGAAUUUUGGGCAAUGGGCGAAAGCCUGACCCAGCAACGCCGCGUGAAGGAUGAAGUAUUUCGGUAUGUAAACUUCGAAAGAAUAGGAAGAAUUAAUGACGGUACUAUUUAUAAGGUCCGGCUAACUACGUG